This 140-nucleotide ribosomal RNA is filed under the name Anaeromicropila populeti. RNAcentral's name for it is "[Clostridium] populeti 16S rRNA. Bacterial SSU". It matches the Rfam family "Bacterial small subunit ribosomal RNA", at positions 1 to 120 of the family's 1533-position model. The record is from RNAcentral. Lineage: Bacteria; Bacillati; Bacillota; Clostridia; Lachnospirales; Lachnospiraceae.
CUUUAUUUGAGAGUUUGAUCCUGGCUCAGGAUGAACGCUGGCGGCGUGCUUAACACAUGCAAGUCGAACGAAGCACAAAAGCGGAAGCCUUCGGGUGGAAGCUUUUGUGACUGAGUGGCGGACGGGUGAGUAACGCGUGG